GCUUAAGCGGAUAAACUGCCCCUAUCAGGGACCUGCAGGCUAAUAAGCCAAUUUCUUCUCAUGACCAUGACAAGCAAAAUAGGACAAGCUCAACUGCACAUAUACAUUUCAAGCCUCAGCUGCUAAUAUUCCACUGGCCAAGGCCAAAGGUAAGGGUUGGGGAAAAAUACUAUGCCUUUUGUGGGAAGAACUGUAAAGACACAUAGCAGGUGGGAUACAGGGAGAGGUGAGGAAUUGGGGCC
This 242-nucleotide long non-coding RNA is filed under the name Delphinapterus leucas (beluga whale). Its description in RNAcentral is "lncRNA (ENSDLEG00000001047.1)". The record is from RNAcentral. Lineage: Eukaryota; Metazoa; Chordata; Mammalia; Artiodactyla; Monodontidae.